GAUGAACGCUGGCGGCGUGCCUAAUACAUGCAAGUCGAGCGAACGGACGAGAAGCUUGCUUCUCUGAUGUUAGCGGCGGACGGGUGAGUAACACGUGGAUAACCUACCUAUAAGACUGGGAUAACUUCGGGAAACCGGAGCUAAUACCGGAUGAUAUUUUGAACCGCAUGGUUCAAAAGUGAAAGACGGUCUUGCUGUCACUUAUAGAUGGAUCCGCGCUGCAUUAGCUAGUUGGUAAGGUAACGGCUUACCAAGGCAACGAUGCAUAGCCGACCUGAGAGGGUGAUCGGCCACACUGGAACUGAGACACGGUCCAGACUCCUACGGGAGGCAGCAGUAGGGGAUCUUCCGCAAUGGGCGAAAGCCUGACGGAGCAACGCCGCGUGAGUGAUGAAGGUCUUCGGAUCGUAAAACUCUGUUAUUAGGGAAGAACAUAUGUGUAAGUAACUGUGCACAUCUUGACGGUACCUAAUCAGAAAGCCACGGCUAACUACGUG
Molecule: ribosomal RNA, 497 nt
Filed under: uncultured bacterium
Lineage: Bacteria
Description: partial 16S ribosomal RNA
Rfam family: Bacterial small subunit ribosomal RNA
Source: RNAcentral